Molecule: ribosomal RNA, 1919 nt
Filed under: human gut metagenome
Description: bacterial LSU rRNA
Rfam family: Bacterial large subunit ribosomal RNA
Source: RNAcentral
UCAAGUUAAAAAGAGCACUAGGUGAAUGCCUAGGCACCAAGAGGCGAAGAAGGACGCGACAAGCUGCGAAAAGCUACGGAAAGGAGCAAAUAUCUUAUGACCCGUAGAUCUCCGAAUGGGGAAACCCACCUCAUAAGAGGUAUCCUAUAGCCAAUCCAUAACUAUAGGAAGCGAACCAGGUGAACUGAAACAUCUAAGUAACCUGAGGAAAAGAAAGAAAACUCGAUUCCCUAAGUAGCGGCGAGCGAACGGGGAAGAGCCCGAUGUGUAUAAAGAGACAAUAGCCAGCCAAAUAAUCUGGGAAGAUUAACCAAAGAAGGUAAGAGUCCUGUAGGCGAAAGCGAAGAUAUCCGACACAAAAGAGUACCACGGAACACGAGAAAUUCAGUGGGAAUAUGGGGGGACCACCCCCUAAGGCUAAAUACUACUUGGUGACCGAUAGCGAACAAGUACCGUGAGGGAAAGGUGAAAAGAACCCCGUGAGGGGAGUGAAAUAGAAUCUGAAACCUAGUGUUUACAAGCAGCGAAAGUGGUUUUGCACCACGAUCGUGUACUUUUUGUAGAACGGGCCAGCGAGUUACGAUUACUAGCGAGGUUAAGCAUUAAAGAUGCGGAGCCGAAGCGAAAGCGAGUCUAAAUAGGGCGGAAGUUAGUGGUUGUAGACCCGAAACCGUGUGAUCUAUCCAUGAGCAGAGUGAAGUUGAAGUAAAAUUCAAUGGAGGCUCGAACCGGGUAACGUUUAAAAGUUAUCGGAUGACUUGUGGAUAGGGGUGAAAAGCCAAACGAACACGGAGAUAGCUGGUUCUCCUCGAAAUAGCUUUAGGGCUAGCCUCUAGUAAGACAUGAAAAGGGGGUAGAGCACUGAUUGGUCAAGGGGCAUGCAUAUGUUACCAAGACCUAUCAAACUCCGAAUACCAUAUCAUGCACUAGGGAGUCAGACUAUGUGGGAUGAGCUUCAUAGUCGAAAGGGAAAGAGCCCAGACCAUCAGCUAAGGUCCCAAAAUUAUAGUUAAGUGGGAAAGGAUGUGGAGUUACUGAGACAACUAGGAUGUUGGCUUAGAAGCAGCCACUCAUUUAAAGAGUGCGUAAUAGCUCACUAGUCAAGUGACUCUGCGCCGAAGAUAACCGGGGCUAAACUAUAUACCGAAGCUAUGGAACGUAUAACGUUGGUAGAGGAGCAAUGUAUGAAGGACGAAGCAGAAGUCGUAAGGCACUGUGGACAUCAUACAAGAGAGAAUGCUGGCAUGAGUAGCGAGAGGUGAGUGAGAAUCUCACCCGUCGAAAACCCAAGGAUUCCUGAGCAAGGCUCGUCCACUCAGGGUAAGUCGGGACCUAAGGCGAGGCUGAAAAGCGUAGUCGAUGGACAACAGGUGGAAAUUCCUGUACCGAUACAAUCAUUAAAGGAAGUGGGGACGCAGAAGGAUAAUAAGAGCGCCCAGUUGGUGAGGCGUGCAAGCGCAAAGGAUGGAAAGUAGGCAAAUCCGCUUUCCGAGAAGUCUGAAGCGUAAUGCGGAUCGAAAACAAGUAGAGAAGCUUAUGACUCCACACUGCCAAGAAAAGCCACUACUAGAGAAGUAUCGCCCGUACCGUAAACCGACACAGGUAGGUGAGGAGAGAAUCCUAAGACGAGCGGAAAAACCUUUGUUAAGGAACUCGGCAAAAUGACCCCGUAACUUCGGGAGAAGGGGAGCCCCUGUAAAAGGGGGCCGCAGUGAAAAGGCCCAAGCGACUGUUUACCAAAAACACAAGUUUCUGCUAAGUCGAAAGACGAAGUAUAGGAGCUGACACCUGCCCGGUGCUGGAAGGUUAAGGGAAAAAGUUAGCGUAAGCGAAGCUUAGAACUGAAGCCCCAGUAAACGGCGGCCGUAACUAUAACGGUCCUAAGGUAGCGAAAUUCCUUGUCGGGUAAGUUCCGACCC